AUGUUAUCACUGUGGUACACGUUCGGUGGAGGAACCAGACUGGAAGUUGGAAGUGAUGUCCGUCCCUCCCUGACGGUGCUGCCUCCCUCCGUGGAGGAGCUGCAGCAGGGGAAGGCCACGCUCAUGUGCCUGGCCAACAAGGGCUUCCCCUCAGACUGGAGUCUGUCCUGGAAGGUGGACGGCAGCAGCAGCAUCAGCAACGGGGAGCAGAGCAGGAGCCCCGGGGUGCUGCAGAAGGACGGCCACUACAGCUGGAGCAGCACCCUGAGGCUCCCUGCAGACCAGUGGAGGAAGGUGGUCUCUGUGACCUGUGAGGCCAGCCAGGGCUCCCAGACUCCGCUCUCAGAAACACUGAGGAGAGACCAGUGUUCCCAGUCCUAACCUGACUCACUGGGACUCUCACACUGCUUUCACUCUCUCUCUGCUCUCAGGCUUUUCUCUCUCUCUUUAUUUCUACCAUGAGACCAACUGAACAUCAUUUAUCUUCAGCUUUUCAUGUUUUUUUUUUUUUAUUCAUGUUUUAAGACAAUAAAGUUUCUUCUUCAAAUCAGCAA
Molecule: non-coding RNA, 554 nt
Organism: Mugil cephalus (flathead mullet)
Lineage: Eukaryota; Metazoa; Chordata; Actinopteri; Mugiliformes; Mugilidae
Source: the annotation of a RefSeq genome assembly